GAACACGGCGCGCGUUACCAGAGGACUGAGGGCGCGAGAGAAGGACGGAGCGAACGAGAGCGGGCGAGCGAGAAAGAGCGAGAUAGGAAAAGGACGAGAUAGAGGAAGAGAAAGAGAAAGAGAGCGAGAGAGAGAGAGAGAGAGAGAGAAAGAGAGGCGGAUUCUCGCGGCGGCUCUCGGAGCGGCUCGCGGACGACCGUUGUGAAUUCCCCCAAUGGCGCAUGCACGGCUCAGCUGUGUGCGUCCUGUACGCACCGCGUAGUGAUGCGCUUGCCAGGAUCGCCGUCCGGGUGAGCACGCCAGUGCCGGGACGUCGUGCAGGAAACAUGGAGCGUCCACUCAGUGUCACAGUCAUACAUUGCUCGAAUAAAUACUACAUUUAGCCCUUAGUUUGGAUAGUCUUUGAUGCAACAGAAGUAGUACAUUGUCGUGUGGCAUAGUAGUCCAAACUCCUACCAGGAGAGAUGGAUGUCGUGCGGGAUGAGGAUAGGUGGAGACGCCUACGGGCUCUGGAGGAGCGUAUAAAGGAUCCAAGAAGCGUCACGAAUAUCGACUGCUUGUUGGACACGGUUCAAGCCUUGGUGUCGGAUUGCGAUCACGCGAGUGUGAAACGCAUGAAAAACAUAGAAGCUUAUAUGAAUAGAUAUGACUCCGUAGCUCAAGAGAUAUAUAAAAUGCGAAUGCGCACGGACGAUUUUACUCUGAUAAAAGUAAUCGGCCGUGGAGCAUUCGGCGAAGUGCAGUUGGUCAGACACAAAUCUACGCAGAAAGUAUACGCCAUGAAACUGCUUAGUAAAUUCGAAAUGAUCAAAAGGUCAGACUCCGCAUUUUUUUGGGAAGAGAGGGAUAUAAUGGCGCACGCCAAUUCCCAGUGGAUAGUACAGCUUCACUUCGCGUUCCAAGACCAGAAGUAUCUCUACAUGGUGAUGGAUUACAUGCCAGGCGGUGACCUCGUGAACCUGAUGUCGAACUAUGACGUGCCAGAAAAAUGGGCGAAAUUUUACUGCGCCGAGGUGGUGCUCGCAUUGGAUGCGAUACAUCUGAUGGGCUUCGUUCACAGGGACGUGAAACCGGACAACAUGCUGCUCGACAAGCACGGUCACUUAAAACUCGCCGACUUCGGCACGUGUAUGAGGAUGGAUGCUGACGGUUUGGUUCGGUCCGACACCGCGGUCGGCACACCCGAUUACAUCUCCCCGGAAGUCCUGCAGUCGCAAGGCGGUGAAGGAGUUUACGGUCGCGAAUGCGACUGGUGGUCCGUGGGUGUCUUUCUGUAUGAAAUGCUGGUCGGCGACACACCGUUCUACGCCGACUCCUUAGUCGGCACAUAUUCGAAGAUCAUGGAUCACAGGAACUCGCUGCACUUUCCUCAGGAAGUCGACAUCUCGCACUCGGCGAAGAACUUGAUAUGCGGCUUCCUCACCGACAGAACGAAGCGUUUGGGCCGCAAUGGCGUGGACGAGAUUAAGAGCCAUACGUUCUUCAAGAACGACCAGUGGACCUUCGACAACCUGAGAGAAUGCGUGCCGCCGGUGGUGCCUGAACUGUCUGGCGACGACGAUACAAGCAAUUUCGAUGACGUCGAUAAGGAGGACGGGCCAGAGGAGAGUUUCCCGGUGCCCAAGGCCUUUUCCGGUAACCACCUGCCUUUCAUCGGAUUUACUUAUUCCGGUGAUUACCAGUUGAUGGCUUCGCAUGGCAAAGAGUCCGUCGACGGGCUGGAGAAUCACGUGAACAACGGCACUACAGACGACGUGAAGAUCUCGCAGCUGGAGAAUCUGUUGGACCGCGAGAGACGGCAAGUGGAGACAAUGGAGUCGCGGCAAAAGGUGCUGAAUACGCAGUUGGAUGCGAUGACGCGUCGGGAAGCCGAGUUACGGGAGGAGAUCGGCAGGGCGGACAAGGAACUGACAUUGCUUAGACACAACUACAAGGAGGCGCAGCGCCGAGUGGAACACGAGACUGAGACGCGCAGAAAGGCGGAGUCGCUGCUCGUGGAGCUGAAGAAGAAGUUCGACGAGGAGCAGACGAGACGAGUGCGAGACGCCAGCAACUCGCAGCAGACGUCCGAGCGUGUGACCACGUUGGAGAAACAGCUCAAGGAGAUGCAGUGCAAGCUGGAGAGAGAAACUGAAACGGCGACGCGACUGCGGAAGCAGACGACGGAAGUGACGGUCGCGCGUCAGGCCGCCGAGCAAAUGGCGAGCGAGUUGCAAGUCGUGAGAGCUCAGCUGCAAGCACAGCGCGACAACUUGCAGCAGGAGGUUGCCGCUCUACAGGGCCAACUCUCCAAGGAACGCAGUUCCAGAUCGCAAGCGUCGUCGCUGACGGCCGAGCUGGAGACGCGUCUCUCCGCCUUGCAUCUUGAGCUAGAACGCAGUCAUGAAAAAGAAGAGAAGGCGACUCUGGACAAUAGGCAACUGAACGAAAGGGUUUCCGCGUUGGAGAAGGAAGCUGCUAGUUUGACCCUGGAGCUGAAAGCCGCACAAGCCAGGUACAAUCAGGAAGUCGUGGCGCAUCAGGAAACUGAACGAUCGCGCAUACUCUCCAAGGAAGAGGCCAAUCUGGAGGUCGUCAAAGGACAAAAGAACGGGAUUUUCGAAGUGAAACUGAACGAGGAGAAAAGUGGAAGACAACGCGCGGAAUUGCUCGCACAGGAGAAGGAGCGCCAGACGUCGAUGCUCUCCGUCGAUUACAGACAGAUACAGCAACGAUUGCAGAAAUUGGAGGGCGAGCACAGGCAGGAGAUGGAGAAGGUCAAGGUACUGCAGGGCCAGGUUGAGCAGGAGCAGCAGAAGAGGAACGUCUUGCAAACCGAGCUGGGUCAACAAACAUCCGAAGCGGGAAGACUUCGCGCUCGCGAGCAACAAUUGGUCGGAGAGGUCGCUCAGUUGAGGGAGGCUAAACGACAAAUAGAGGAGGAGUUGCAUCACUUGAAAACGCAGAGGAACGUCGAUCAGUUGCAGACGAAGGAACUGCAAGAGCAAUUGGAAGCCGAAGCUUACUUCUCGACUCUUUACAAGACACAGACACAAGAGUUGCGCGAAGAGCUGGACGAGAAAGUGAGGCUGCAGCAGGAAUUCGAGGAAGAACGUAGCUCCUUGGUCCAUCAGUUGCAGCUGUCGCUGGCACGCGGUGACAGCGAAGCGCUAGCCAGAUCCAUAGCUGAGGAAACCGUGGCAGACUUGGAGAAGGAGAGAACUAUGAAGGAAUUAGAGUACAAAGACGGGGUCGCCAAACACCACCAGGAACUGAACGCGAAGGAGCAACUUAUAAACAGGCUCAAGGAGAACGAGAGCGAGUUCAAGAAGUCGGUCGAGCAGACUCUGAAAGACAAGGAGGACCUGAGCAAGCGGUUGAAGGAACUACAGGAACAACUCGGCAAGGCGCAGUCCAACGCGGAAGAGAUCGAGAAGCUCAGCAGCAAGCUGAAGACCGAGCAGGUGCUGAAGCAGCAGGCGGUCAAUAAGUUAGCCGAGAUCAUGAACCGGAAGGAUCUCUCGUCGAGUGGCAAGAACAAGAACAAGGCAUCCGCCGCGGAUCUGAGGAAGAAGGAGAAAGACUGCAGGCGGCUGCAGCAGGAGCUCACUCAGGAGAGGGAGAAGUACGGACAGCUGGCAGCUAAGUGGCAGAAGGAUCUGCAGGAUAUACAGGCGCAACUCGUGGAGGAGAAUCAGGCGAAGCUAAGGCUGCAGAUGGAACUGGACUCGAAGGACUCGGAGAUAGAAACGCUGCAAAUGAAAAUCGCGUCGCUCAAUUCGGAAACUGCCAGUGUCUCGUCGAUCGAAAACGACGGGGAAGACUCGGUCUUAUCCGAGCACGGUACGAUGAGGCUGGAGGGCUGGUUAAAUGUGCCAAACAAGCAGAAUAUUAAGCGGCACGGCUGGAAGAAGCAGUAUGUCGUGGUCUCCUCUAAGAAAAUAAUCUUCUACAACAGCGAGAACGACAAGAUGAACGCCGACCCGGUCCUGAUAUUAGACUUGAACAAAGUCUUCCACGUUAGAUCCGUUACUCAGGGUGAUGUUAUCCGAGCCAAUGCCAAAGAUAUACCCAGAAUAUUUCAGUUACUUUAUGCCGGCGAGGGUGAAGCGAGGCGACCCGGCGACGAAGGGAACACAAUGCCCGGAGUGGAUUUGCCGCAGCUCACAGACAAACCCGGCACUCAGUCGCUAAAGGGCCACGAGUUUGUGUCAAUAUCGUAUCACAUGCCGACGACCUGCGAAGUCUGCUCGAAACAACUCUGGCACAUGUUCCGGCCUUCGCCGGCCCUCGAAUGCCGAAGGUGUCGCAUCAAGGUUCACAAGGAACAUUUGGAUAAGAAGGAAGAUGCCAUAGCCCCCUGCAAAUUGCACUACGACCCGAACAGCGCGCGCGAGUUGCUGUUGCUCGCGGCGAAUCCCGAGGAUCAGAAGUACUGGGUCUCGAGGCUGUCCAGACGUGUCCAGAAAUGCGGUUACAAAGCAAACUCGCACGUGGACGGCACGGGACAACGAGUCUCGCCAAGGUAGCGUAGCCGUGCUGCUCGACGCGAGCGGGGACUAAGUAGCUCUCUUAUUUUGUGGCGUCGCAUGAUUGGGUGUAGAGAGGGAAUCCACGAGGUCGACCUUAAAGCCAUACUUGACGGUGCAGCAACGAUCCGCGACGUUACCAGCGAACGCCAGUAUGGGCAAGUGAUCUUGGAAGAUCCUACCGCUGGCCAUUCGAAACUCUGGUUAUGAUCAGUUGCCCCGUUUGCCCUCGAUAACAG
This 4747-nucleotide unclassified non-coding RNA is filed under the name Harpegnathos saltator (Jerdon's jumping ant). RNAcentral describes it as "rho-associated protein kinase 2, transcript variant X6". The record is from RNAcentral. Lineage: Eukaryota; Metazoa; Arthropoda; Insecta; Hymenoptera; Formicidae.